This 257-nucleotide ribosomal RNA is filed under the name uncultured bacterium. Its description in RNAcentral is "partial 16S ribosomal RNA". It matches the Rfam family "Bacterial small subunit ribosomal RNA", at positions 524 to 777 of the family's 1533-position model. The record is from RNAcentral.
UACGUAGGGUGCGAGCGUUAAUCGGAAUUACUGGGCGUAAAGCGUGCGCAGGCGGUUUGUUUAAGUCCGCUGUGAAAGCCCCCGGGCUCAACCUGGGAAUGGCGGUGGAAACUGGCGAGCUAGAGUGUGUCAGAGGGGGGUGGAAUUCCACGUGUAGCAGUGAAAUGCGUAGAGAUGUGGAGGAACACCAAUGGCGAAGGCAGCCCCCUGGGAUAACACUGACGCCUCAGGCACGAAAGCGUGGGGAGCAAACAGGA